This is a non-coding RNA of Snodgrassella alvi SCGC AB-598-O02, 125 nucleotides long. Lineage: Bacteria; Pseudomonadati; Pseudomonadota; Betaproteobacteria; Neisseriales; Neisseriaceae. The record is from Rfam.
UUUGUCAGCCAUAUUAUGGUGAGCUUGGCUAACUUGUCUGCCGCAAGGUAUAAUUUGAAUGAGAAAAUAAUAUGUUAUCUGUUGAACAAAAAGCGCAAAUCGUUAAAGAUUUUCAACGUACUGAA